Molecule: ribosomal RNA, 462 nt
Filed under: uncultured bacterium
Lineage: Bacteria
Description: partial 16S ribosomal RNA
Rfam family: Bacterial small subunit ribosomal RNA
Source: RNAcentral
GAUAAACGCUGGCGGCGUGCUUAACACAUGCAAGUCGAACGAAGUUUUUCCUUCGGGAGAAACUUAGUGGCGGACGGGUGAGUAACGCGUGGGUAACCUGCCCUGUACAGGGGGACAACAGCUGGAAACGGCUGCUAAUACCGCAUAAGCCCUUAGCACUGCAUGGUGCAUAGGGAAAAGGAGCAAUCCGGUACAGGAUGGACCCGCGUCUGAUUAGCCAGUUGGCAGGGUAACGGCCUACCAAAGCGACGAUCAGUAGCCGAUCUGAGAGGAUGUACGGCCACAUUGGGACUGAGACACGGCCCAGACUCCCACGGGAGGCAGCAGUGGGGAAUAUUGCACAAUGGAGGAAACUCUGAUGCAGCGACGCCGCGUGAGUGAAGAAGUAUUUCGGUAUGUAAAGCUCUAUCAGCAGGGAAGAAAAUGACGGUACCUGACUAAGAAGCACCGGCUAAAUACGUG